CCUACGGGAGGCAGCAGUGGGGAAUAUUGGACAAUGGGCGAAAGCCUGAUCCAGCCAUGCCGCGUGUGUGAAGAAGGCCUUCGGGUUGUAAAGCACUUUCAGUGGGGAAGAAAGCCUUGGGGCUAAUACCCUCGAGGAAGGACAUCACCCACAGAAGAAGCACCGGCUAACUCCGUGCCAGCAGCCGCGGUAAUACGGAGGGUGCGAGCGUUAAUCGGAAUUACUGGGCGUAAAGCGCACGUAGGCGGUCUGAUAAGCCGGAUGUGAAAGCCCCGGGCUUAACCUGGGAACGGCAUCCGGAACUGUCAGGCUUGAGUGCAGGAGAGGAAGGUAGAAUUCCCGGUGUAGCGGUGAAAUGCGUAGAGAUCGGGAGGAAUACCAGUGGCGAAGGCGGCCCUCUGGACUGACACUGACGCUGAGGUGCGAAAGCGUGGGUAGCAAACAGGAUUAGAUACCCUAGUAGUC
This 465-nucleotide ribosomal RNA is filed under the name Vreelandella stevensii. RNAcentral's name for it is "partial 16S ribosomal RNA". It matches the Rfam family "Bacterial small subunit ribosomal RNA", at positions 338 to 795 of the family's 1533-position model. Lineage: Bacteria; Pseudomonadati; Pseudomonadota; Gammaproteobacteria; Oceanospirillales; Halomonadaceae. The record is from RNAcentral.